Molecule: long non-coding RNA, 4806 nt
Organism: Chelonia mydas (Green sea turtle)
Lineage: Eukaryota; Metazoa; Chordata; Testudines; Cheloniidae
Exons: 3
Source: RefSeq, a predicted model, not a curated record
CAAAAAGGUACAGGAAGGCAAUGGUGGAGGAGAGGAGAGGAGGAGAAGGAGACAAAAACAAACCAGACAGGUAGGGCCAGCCUAGCUGAGCCCGGAGUCAGGGAGAUCUCUGAGAAGCAAGACUGUCUCUUCCUGGGCCCUCGGGAAAGGGCUGAGGAUACAAGGGCCCUUGUAAAUGACACUGUUGCCCACAGCUGGAAAGGUGUGGGUAGAGAAAUAGCUUCCUAGCCCCACCGGGUUCCUUUCCCACCUGACAGCCAGUCCUCCUGCAACGAUUUGAAGAACGCUGUCAGAGGAAAAGAAGCACCCCUGCACCCUCAAGAGAAGAACGCAUCUAAGCCCAGGAGACCUGCUGGUAUGAGCAGGGCCAUGGGUCAGGUUUCUAUAACAGACCUUUGUAACAAUUCUUGAACCUCUACCCACUGUUCACUGGUGGACUAACAAGUAACGAAGGCCUGGUAGAAGAUGGGAAUCUCAGCCGUAAUUCCAUUGGUGUUAGAAUAGUGAAAGGAGAAGGUUGGCCAAGAGGCUUGGGAGCCUCUGUCUGGUAUUCAGAGUCCAGUUUUUCAGCUGAAUCAUAUUUUUAUGAAAGAAUUCAUCAAAAAUAUUAUAACCCUACUAAACAAUGGUUCCGCCCUUGUGUUUCCAUGCACGAGAGGCAGGAUCUAGGCUGUGGGCUCCCAGCAGCAGAAUCUCUCCCCGGAGCAAGCGCCUGGGCUCUCGGGCGGGGGCGGGGGAGAGCAGGCUGCAUCCAGCAGUUGGAAUGUCAGACCGCUGGGGGUCUGUAGGAGGCAGGAGGACCAGCUGUCCUCCCGGGGGUACACGGCCCCCGUGACCCAGGGAGUGCCAGCACAGAAUGGUUUACGUCACCCCGAACUCUCACCUCAUGCCGAGUGCCUCUUGGGCCUGUCCCUUGGAUGUGACGGGAAGCGUGUGCAUGGGGAGAGGAGGAGAGGGAACAAGAGAAUGCUAUUCGUUUGUCCACGCGUUUUGCAUGUAACAGAGUCUUCAUGCCACGACCACGAGUCAGAUUAUGCAGAUACAAGCAAUUCAACAGACACACAUGAUCGUGGCAGCAAAGAAGGUGCCUGAUGUGAACUCCCAACCCAGACAAAACAUAUUGGAAGAAACAUUAUUAGCCAUCACAGAAGCCUGGGGGAAAGCAAUAUAGAGCCAUAAUCCAUUUGCUAAGGAAUCUAUUAGUGCCUAAUGUAUGCAAAACUCCAAAACACGGCGACUCAGACACCCAAAGUAGCACUUUCUGCUCCGGGAGACGUCAUGAGAAAUCACCCUUCGAAUUCUACAUGCGUACUUGAGGAAGCCUGUGAUAGAAAACAGAGUCCCUGCCAGUAUCAGAUCUGGAUGGGACAGUCAGUCCGUUUCAAGCACCAGAUCGCUCAGCCUCCUUGCUUGUCUGCUGGGGAAAAAACAAAUCAAAUCUUCAUUUAGAAAUAAGGUCAGCGCAGUGAAGAGCGAGAUCUUGAGAACUCUUUGCCCUUUGCGGUAGGGAGUAAAGUUCUAUCAUAGCGCUUGAAAUGAGAAGAAAAUCUCACAGAACAAGCCCAGUGUGCCCUCUCCCGGCGCCGGUGAAUCUGGAGUGGGUCUCGGGGGGAUUCUGCUGCCUGCUCCUCUCUCCACACUGGGCUCGUGGAAGCCUUCCACACCCACUCCCCCGGCUGAGGCUCCGUUCACAGGCAGAAGGGAGUGUUCACAACAUGCGGCAGAGCCCACAAGCUCACCCAACCCCUAGAGCUGGGGAUGCAGCACACUUCAGCUACAGGUCUGUGCUUAGGAGCUGGGGGAAGAGUUUAAAGAAUACCCUGUCCUGUAUUUAAACAAACAUCCAGGCUUAAUCCAUAACCAUGCUUGGAAACGCACCCAAAUCCUGCCUCCUUUUAUUUCACUGAAAGCAGAUUGUGCAGGUCAAAAGCUGGUAAUAGCUUUGUGCAAAAUACCUGCAACUGAAACCAAACCAUUCCGAGAAGGAUGUAGCUCCCCAGGGUUUAAUGGCUGGCAGGACAACAUAUCUGCCUGGUGAGCUUUUGAUGUCCACUUCAAUUUUAUCAGUCAUGUCUCCAUAUUUGACCUGCUGUAUCUGAACUGAUUAAGACUAGCUGGACCCGCAGGAUUCUACAACAACAAAAAACACUAGAAGACUUCGUUGUUCAGACCAAGACUUGGGUGGUCACUACAUUCAAAAUGAAUUAUUGGACCAAACACAGUGCUUAAUUAUGUGCCUACCGGAGGGGUCCAUUUUCAGAGAGGGACCCAGGAUUUAGCCACAUGACUUCAGAUGUAUGAGUAACGGGAAUCCCCACUCACUGGGCUAAAAAUGUCAAAUUACCUCCUGUAUUGUAAGCAGCCGAGCAUAUUUCAGUGCCCUGCCUUACAACCUGCCAAGAGAGGAAGGCCUGAUAACUUCUCAUGAGCAGUAAGUGAAAUGGGCCAUGUUACUACCUGGCCAAGGAAGGACUGUGCAGUUUUAUGUUUAAAGAACUUUUCCCUUUAAGGGAUCAAUUUUGCCAGCUCUUCUCCCCUCCACCACCCCCCUCAAUUUUGCAGGUGCAGCUUUGUAAGCAAAAAUGUGCGUGCAAUUGACAGCAGUCAGACAGCAGGGUAAUUGGCAGGUGCAAUCAAUUAUUUAGCAGCUGACAUGGCAUCAAUGAUACAAAACUGGGGGUGCAAAAUGAAAGCACAUCUGAAAAGCUGCCAGUUCCCUGGGUUCCAGGUCGGUGAGCCCCUCCUGCUAUAUCUUAGGGGAGCAGGUCAGCGGCACAGGGCAGCAGAGGGAUUGCAGAGAUCUCCAGUGCUUUGCGGGGCCGUUGACACCCGUGCAGAGGGGUGUAAAGUGGGUGUGAAAUGCUUCUACUCUGCUCCUAGAGCAUUUCACACCCACACUCCACACCGGUGUGAGUGACUAGUGCAGCUGCAGGCCCCAGGUCUCUAUAAUGGGUCACCAUGCAGGACAGGGCUAUUGUGGGAUGGAGAGCAGGAUGGCAGAUGUGUGGCCACUGAGUGUGCACAGCAAGGGUGCCUUGGGCCACGCCCGGGAUGGGGAAUUGGACACAGAAGCGGACACAUCUGCUGUCCCCCUAUGGGCAGAGGAGCAGUUGCAGCUCCGAGAGGCGACCACCCUUGCUUUUCCACCGUCCCUCUGAGCGAGGGGGCAAGGUCACAGGGCAAUUCCAGAGGCUGCCCUGGGGCAUGGUGGGCCUAGGGCUGUGGAUAGCCCCGGACAGGAUGUUAAUUAUACUAAUUCUCCAGGUGUGUCUAAUGCAGCUCUGUAGGCAUUGCGGCAAUGGUGGCUGGGAAGCAUUCAGCACAGGCCUUUGAGCGAGCACGGUUCCCUUUGAUGGAGCAAGGAUAAUCUCCCUCCUCGCCUGGGGAAUCUAAAACCCUUUGGCACUUCCCCACUAAGCUGCUGCAGCCUUGUGCGGAGCUCUCCCCUCCUCAGGAGCCACUCUCUGGUCCAGAUACUGGGACUCUCUGCAAAGAAAAGAAAUGCCAGCCACAGCUAAGUAGGAAAUACCAGAGCAUGGCCCAUCUCCUGUAGGACCUUGUCCCCUCUCAUUAAUUUCUCAUCUCUGCUCACACUUCUCCCUUCUGUUCCUUUCUGCCCUUCCUGCUCUGGUCUCUCAGUUUAACCCUUUUGGGCCAACUUCCACUCUCAAGAGUCUUCUUCACUACGCCUUAUAGGGAAACCUCCUGCCAGGACGCUACCUCCAGCGUAGCGGCACCAAGGGGCGCAAGGGCACUGCUAAGGCACGGGCGUUUUACCACCACGUCAUCCACACCUGCUCCAAGCCUCAGCAAGGCACGUGUGACCAGCACGCUGCGAUAUUCCUGUCUCUCUGUUGGGGUCGUGGUGGCAAGUGCAGGGUUUGCAGGGACAGCGCGUGAGGAUGAGCGCCGUGGCGGGUGCAGGGUUGGGCACACAUAUGGGUGGUGGGUGUAAUAGGCCAGGGGAGGCUCUGCCAGACGCCUGGUAGUGUGUUUGGUGGGGGAAGUUUUUCCUUUAUUAUGCCCCAUGCAGGUUCCGGGGCGGAUGAGGGGGCAGUAUGUGCUAUUCAGCUUCCUGGUUUCAUCAGUAAUCUCCCUGGACUCCAGAGAGAACCUGCAUGGGGCAUAGCAAAAGCUCAGGUUCUUCUCUGGGAAGAGACGCUGUCACCCUGCAGCUUUUCCUGGGCAGCUUGGGGUCUGGGGAGGCACAGUGCGGCUGUGGCUGGCCCAGCGCUCCUCCUGGCAGGGGGGGAGCUCAGGGCUCCUCUGGCCAAGGGGGCAGGGGCACGCGAGCACAAGGGGUGGAACUGGGGGCUCGCCUCCCCGAAGGGGGGCUCCACCUGCCACCAGACUGCAGCAGAGUUGUGCAGUUCUGAUCUUUUGUAAAAAAAAAAAAAAAAAAAUCUUCUGAAAGGAUGUCACAGAGUGAGCCACACUGGCUCCAAAAUGAUUUUUCAGGGGGCUUAAACUGUGCUUAAUGAGACAGCAGGGAGGAAUAGCGUGGCUCAGAGUAGCUGUAUUACAGGCUUCAUUUUAUAUUGUCUCAAAAAUCCUUAGCAGCAUCCCUCCCUGGCCAGAUGCUGUUGACAAUCCUUUUACUGCCUCUUUUACUUUCAAUAGUAAAUUACAUUAAAUCUUCUCCAUUCUUUCUUUCAGCCUCUGGUGAAGAGUUUAGUUCAGCUUUGACUUUGUCAGAGCAAUUCAAAUAGGGCAGCACUUUAAACAGUCACUAGUAUUCAGGCACCCGCCGUCCCGGCAGAGGUGCCCACAUAUGAGUCGCGGGCCCUGAAGAGCUCAGGUUUCAAA